Long non-coding RNA from Gracilinanus agilis (Agile Gracile Mouse Opossum), 586 nucleotides. RefSeq lists it as uncharacterized. NCBI's taxonomy places the organism in Eukaryota, Metazoa, Chordata, Mammalia, Didelphimorphia, Didelphidae. The transcript has 5 exons. The record is from RefSeq and is a predicted model, not a curated record.
CCUCGGGACGGCACGGCGUGCCUCGGCUCCGCACGGGCACGGACUGAUGGCUUCCACGUGGACUCCGCUCGUGGGUCCCGCGCGUCCUACGGAGAGGAGCGGGUGGGCUGUGCAGCCAUGGGGGGUUGAGGACACGUGACCAGCCUGUGGGGGCCCGCGAUGGCAGCACGCUCUCCUCGGGUAUGAGGCCGUCCGGAAGCCCCUCUGUGUCAGGAGCGGGGUCUCCCCGGGAAGAAUCAUGGGCAGGCUGCCCGCGGGAACCACAGAGGCCGCAGGCCUGGGGUCCGAGGCGGGUGACUGUCCAGAGAGCACCGAGCGGCAGCAGCAGCUGAGCGGAGCCGAUCUCAGUUUCUCUCUCUGUGCAAUGGGAAGCCUGGCCCGGGGCCUCCCGUGAUAGAGGUGCCCCGGCUCUCCGCGUGUGGGCUCGAGGACUUCUCCAGGCCCAGCCAGGCCCCGGAAGCUCAGAGAGGAAGUUGGGAAGGGAGCCCCGCGCUGGAGAAGACCGGGCCGAGCGCUCCGGGCCGGCCCUGCUGAAGGCCCUCCUCCCUCCCCUCCCUGCCCCGCUGAAAUAAAAUGUUGGAGAAAG